GACGAACGCUGGCGGCGUGCUUAACACAUGCAAGUCGAACGGAGUGGCGAACGGGUGAGUAAAACGUGGGUGAUCUGCCUUGCACUUCGGGGUAAGCUUGGGAAACUGGGGCUUAUACCGGAUAGGGCAUGAUGGGCUCGCGGCCUAUCUACUUGUUGGUGGGGUACUGGCCCACCACGGCGUCGACGGGUAGACGGCCUGCGAGGGUGUACGGCCACAUUGGGACUGAGAGACGGCCCAGACGCGUACGGGAGGCAGCAGUGGGGAAUAUUGCACAAUGGGCGGAAGCCUGAUGCAGCGACGCCGCGUGGGGGAUGAAGGCCUUCGGGUUGUAAACUCCUUUCGACAGGGACGCGGUACCUGUAUAAGAAGCACCGGCUAACUACGUGCCAGCAGCCGCGGUAAUUC
Molecule: ribosomal RNA, 408 nt
Filed under: uncultured bacterium
Lineage: Bacteria
Description: partial 16S ribosomal RNA
Rfam family: Bacterial small subunit ribosomal RNA
Source: RNAcentral